RNAcentral lists this ribosomal RNA (377 nucleotides) under Citrobacter freundii. RNAcentral describes it as "bacterial SSU rRNA". It matches the Rfam family "Bacterial small subunit ribosomal RNA", at positions 57 to 430 of the family's 1533-position model. The record is from RNAcentral. Lineage: Bacteria; Pseudomonadati; Pseudomonadota; Gammaproteobacteria; Enterobacterales; Enterobacteriaceae.
GCAAGUCGAACGGUAGCACAGAGGAGCUUGCUCCUUGGGUGACGAGUGGCGGACGGGUGAGUAAUGUCUGGGAAACUGCCCGAUGGAGGGGGAUAACUACUGGAAACGGUAGCUAAUACCGCAUAACGUCGCAAGACCAAAGAGGGGGACCUUCGGGCCUCUUGCCAUCGGAUGUGCCCAGAUGGGAUUAGCUAGUAGGUGGGGUAACGGCUCACCUAGGCGACGAUCCCUAGCUGGUCUGAGAGGAUGACCAGCCACACUGGAACUGAGACACGGUCCAGACUCCUACGGGAGGCAGCAGUGGGGAAUAUUGCACAAUGGGCGCAAGCCUGAUGCAGCCAUGCCGCGUGUAUGAAGAAGGCCUUCGGGUUGUAAAG